This 429-nucleotide ribosomal RNA is filed under the name uncultured Alphaproteobacteria bacterium. RNAcentral's name for it is "bacterial SSU rRNA". It matches the Rfam family "Bacterial small subunit ribosomal RNA", at positions 958 to 1385 of the family's 1533-position model. The record is from RNAcentral. Lineage: Bacteria; Pseudomonadati; Pseudomonadota; Alphaproteobacteria.
AACGCGAAGAACCUUACCAGGGCUUGACAUGGGGAGGCUGUGUCCAGAGAUGGGCAUUUCCCGCAAGGGACCUCCCGCACAGGUGCUGCAUGGCUGUCGUCAGCUCGUGUCGUGAGAUGUUGGGUUAAGUCCCGCAACGAGCGCAACCCUCGCCUUUAGUUGCCAGCAUGUUUGGGUGGGCACUCUAAAGGAACUGCCGGUGACAAGCCGGAGGAAGGUGGGGAUGACGUCAAGUCCUCAUGGCCCUUAUGUCCUGGGCUACACACGUGCUACAAUGGCGGUGACAGUGGGAAGCUAGGUCGCGAGACCAUGCUGAUCUCUAAAAGCCGUCUCAGUUCAGAUUGCACUCUGCAACUCGAGUGCAUGAAGGUGGAAUCGCUAGUAAUCGUGGAUCAGCAUGCCACGGUGAAUACGUUCCCGGGCCUUGUA